This 253-nucleotide ribosomal RNA is filed under the name uncultured bacterium. RNAcentral's name for it is "partial 16S ribosomal RNA". It matches the Rfam family "Bacterial small subunit ribosomal RNA", at positions 524 to 776 of the family's 1533-position model. The record is from RNAcentral.
UACAGAGGGGGCAAGCGUUGUUCGGAAUUACUGGGCGUAAAGGGCGCGUAGGCGGCCUGCUAAGUCGAACGUGAAAUCCCUGGGCUCAACCCAGGAACUGCGUCCGAUACUGGUUGGCUUGAAUCCGGGAGAGGGAUGUGGAAUUCCAGGUGUAGCGGUGAAAUGCGUAGAUAUCAGGAGGAACACCAAUGGCGAAGGCAGCUCGCUGGGACGGUACUGACGCUGAGGCGCGAAAGCGUGGGGAGCAAACGGG